Molecule: long non-coding RNA, 548 nt
Organism: Vigna radiata var. radiata (mung bean)
Lineage: Eukaryota; Viridiplantae; Streptophyta; Magnoliopsida; Fabales; Fabaceae
Exons: 3
Source: RefSeq, a predicted model, not a curated record
GAGGGACCACUUAACUAAAAAGAAUCAGUUUAAUUUUGCUGCUGGACUUUCUGAAAAGCAUAAGUCAUUCUCUCAAGAACGUUUCUCUCUCUAGACCUCAUACUCUCCAUUUUUCCUCUGCCUUCUCUCUACCUUUUCUUUCAACUGAACCGUUAGAAUUUCAAUCCGUAGGCGUCUAAACGAUCCUGACGCUGAGAGCUUCAAUUGGCACCGAUCAAUUUCAGGAUUCAUUGAUGGUGCUGUUUAGAUUAUUCGCGUGUGAGAUACUGUAGUUGUGGAUCUCCGAGCUGAGUAAAGAAAUUUCAAGAUGUUGUUGAGGAGGUCUCCGUGGAGCAAGUGUUGGAGGACGCUGAUGCUGCUGCUUAGCUCUCUUUAGGAUUUCACUUAUUUAGCUUAUGUUAUUUUGAGAUACUUAUUAGAUUAUUUUGAAAUACUUUACUAUGAUUAAAGUUUUAAACUAGGCCAUUUUGUGAGACUGUAAUCCUCUAAUUAAUCGUAAGUCAUACUCUGAUUGUUCUCUUUAUUUGAAUGAUGACGCCUAUAUUAUA